Molecule: long non-coding RNA, 351 nt
Filed under: Mus caroli (Ryukyu mouse)
Lineage: Eukaryota; Metazoa; Chordata; Mammalia; Rodentia; Muridae
Description: RIKEN cDNA A730036I17 gene (MGP_CAROLIEiJ_G0005476.1)
Source: RNAcentral
UGCGGGUGAUCCCAUCUUGCAGGCCUGGGUCUUUCUUGUUCCAUUUCUGUCUGAUUUUCAAUAAGAUUAUAUUCUUAGGAGGACUAGAAAAGGAGGAGGAAGAGUAGGAGGAGGAAGAGGAGGAAGAGAAAGAGGAAAAAGAGGAAAAAGAGGAGGACACAGCUAGGAGAACAAGAAAUUAUUUAAACGGUGUGUGUAUCUGUGCAUGUUAGUACAGGUGUCAGUGGAGACCAGAAGCGCACACUGGAUCUCUUGGAGCAGGAGUUACAGGUGGUUGUGAACUUUGAAUUUAACUGGGGUCCUUUGGAAGAACAGAGCAUGCUCCUGGCUACCGAGCCAUCUUUCUACCCC